This is a ribosomal RNA of Pteropus vampyrus (large flying fox), 124 nucleotides long. Lineage: Eukaryota; Metazoa; Chordata; Mammalia; Chiroptera; Pteropodidae. The record is from Ensembl.
GUCUACAGCCAUACUACUCUGAAUAAGCCUGAUCCCGUCUGAUCUCGGAAGCUAAGCAACAGUUGGGCCUGGUUAGUACUUGGAUUGGAGACCAUCUAGCAAGACCAAGUGCUUGCUGUAAGCA